GAUAAAACGCUGGCGGCGUGCUUAACACAUUCAAGUCGAACGGAGUAUGUUUGGAAGCUUGCUUUUGGACAUACUUAGUGGCGGACGGGUGAGUAAAUGCAUGAGCAACCUGCCUUCAAGAGGGGGAUAACACAUGGAAACGUGUGCUAAUACCGCAUAGACGUACGGACGGCAUCGUUUGUACGGGAAAGGAGUAAUCCGCUUGGAGAUGGGGCUCAUGUCCGAUUAGGUUGUUGGUGAGGUAACGG
This 248-nucleotide ribosomal RNA is filed under the name uncultured bacterium. Its description in RNAcentral is "partial 16S ribosomal RNA". It matches the Rfam family "Bacterial small subunit ribosomal RNA", at positions 32 to 263 of the family's 1533-position model. The record is from RNAcentral.